Molecule: ribosomal RNA, 497 nt
Filed under: uncultured bacterium
Lineage: Bacteria
Description: partial 16S ribosomal RNA
Rfam family: Bacterial small subunit ribosomal RNA
Source: RNAcentral
GACGAACGCUGGCGGCGUGCCUAAUACAUGCAAGUUGAGCGCUGAAGGUUGGUACUUGUACCUACUGGAUGAGCAGCGAACGGGUGAGUAACGCGUGGGGAAUCUGCCUUUGAGCGGGGGACAACAUUUGGAAACGAAUGCUAAUACCGCAUAAAAACUUUAAACACAAGUUUUAAGUUUGAAAGAUGCAAUUGCAUCACUCAAAGAUGGUCCCGCGUUGUAUUAGCUAGUUGGUGAGGUAAAGGCUCACCAAGGCGAUGAUACAUAGCCGACCUGAGAGGGUGAUCGGCCACAUUGGGACUGAGACACGGCCCAAACUCCUACGGGAGGCAGCAGGAGGGAAUCUUCGGCAAUGGACGAAAGGCUGACCGAGCAACGCCGCGGGAGUGAAGAAGGGUUUCGGAUCGUAAAAAUCUGUUGGUAGAGAAGAAAGUUGGUGAGAGUGGAAAGCGCAUCAAGUGACGGUAACUACCCAGAAAGGGACGGCUAACUACGUG